GUUUAUGGGCGGUGCAGUUGGGAGGGAGAAAUCCCUGCCGGUCCCUUAUCCCGGUCUGCUAACCCGUCUGUCACCGCCCACCCUC
RNAcentral lists this non-coding RNA (85 nucleotides) under Nitrosospira sp. Nsp2. Lineage: Bacteria; Pseudomonadati; Pseudomonadota; Betaproteobacteria; Nitrosomonadales; Nitrosomonadaceae. The record is from RNAcentral.